Long non-coding RNA from Xenopus laevis (African clawed frog), 1249 nucleotides. RefSeq lists it as uncharacterized. The transcript is spliced from 2 exons. The record is from RefSeq and is a predicted model, not a curated record. Lineage: Eukaryota; Metazoa; Chordata; Amphibia; Anura; Pipidae.
UGUAAGGGAAGGAUGGGUCCCAUCCCCCCCAACCCCUCCCUGCCUCCCAGCAGGGAGGGAAAGCCAGGCAAGGUCUGGCCGGAGGAUCUGCUUUGAUCCUCCUAUCACCAUGCCGGCCCACAUGUUAGAGUAGUGUGUGUGUCGGAGGAGGGGCGUGUGUGCAUGCUGCUGGGCAGGACUGAGCAGGGUUUAAAAGGCCUGGCGCAGCUGCACUCGGUCUCUUCUUCUUGUGUGCAUCGCCCGGAGAACAUCACCCCCCUGGACAACGAGCAUUUAAACCUGGCUGAGUAUAUCAACCCCUACUAUCCCACCAACGAAUCCCAUUAACCCCUCCUGCUCAAACCCCUACUAUCCCACCAACGAAUCCCAUUAACAAACCUCUACUAUCCCACCAACGAUCCCACUCAUACCCCUAUUAUCCCACCAACGAAAACCCUUACUGAUAUCACCAAUUCCCUAUCCCCUGUACCCCAAUUCCCUUUUGUUGCUUUAGGGAAAGUUUAGCACCAGGAAGGGGGCGGGCAAUUAUAACGUGUGUGAUUGUGUAUGUGUAGUUAGAUUGUGGGUGAAAUUUGGGGAUUGUUAGUGUACCUGCAUUAGAGGUAGUUGCUGUUUCUAUUGUUGAGUGUCGUAUUAAAUAUAUAUUGUGUUAUUUGUAACUUCUGUGUUGUGUUUGUUAUUAUGUAAUUAGAGUAGCAAGCGCACGCAGAUAGUUAGUACAGUACAAUAUAUAGUGUACAUAGUGAAAGGUUAAUUAAGAGUAGUUCUUUAAGGAAUAAAUAGGCGGAGUUAAGUAUCGAACAUCUGCAUAAACAGCGAUAACGGAUACACCCCCUUAACAUUGGCGAGCCAGCGGCCCCUGCAUAUAGCGUUAUUUCUGCGUUCGGUUUUGAGGCUAGGGAUCGGUUAUACUGUGAUUAUCAGGCGGUAGAGACAAGGUUGAAUGUCUGCCCUGAUAAUUCGGACAGGUAACGCGAGUUAUAGUGUAGUACCAAACGUAAAUCACGCUUAAGCAGAGAAUCUAUAAUCUAUCUGUUACUAAAAAUUUUUAUUUAUUUUUGAUUACCUUUCACGGAUGCGUACGCAUUGCUGAAAGGAAAAAUCACGUCACGGGAAGAGAUCCAUCGUUAUCGGAGCAGGAUAAAAGUCUAGUCUGGUAGGGAGAAAGGCGUUCCGGAAGUUAAAGGACCUUCUACAAGCAGCAAGGACAAAGGUUAGCACCGAUUGAAUGAUGACAUCUCAACCAAAA